AGGUGGUGCAUGGUUGUCCGUCAGCUCGUGUCGUGAGAUGUUGGGUUAAGUCCCGCAACGAGCCGCAACCCCUACGUUUAGUUGCUAACGCGUGAAGGCGAGCACUCUAGACGAACUGCCGUUGACAAAACGGAGGAAGGUGGGAUGACGUCAAAUCAUCAUGCCCCUUAUGUUCUGGGCUACACACGUGCUACAAUGGCCGGUACAGACGGACGCAAAGCCGCGAGGUGGAGCAAAUCCUAAAAAGCCGGUCUCAGUUCGGAUUGCAGGCUGCAAUUCGCCUGCAUGAAGUCGGAAUCGCUAGUAAUCGCAGGUCAGCAUACUGCGGUGAAUACGUUCCCGGGCCUU
Molecule: ribosomal RNA, 348 nt
Filed under: uncultured Pelotomaculum sp.
Lineage: Bacteria; Bacillati; Bacillota; Clostridia; Eubacteriales; Desulfotomaculaceae
Description: bacterial SSU rRNA
Rfam family: Bacterial small subunit ribosomal RNA
Source: RNAcentral